This 395-nucleotide unclassified non-coding RNA is filed under the name soil metagenome. Its description in RNAcentral is "partial contains 5.8S ribosomal RNA, internal transcribed spacer 2, and large subunit ribosomal RNA". The stretch from base 1 to 122 matches the Rfam family "5.8S ribosomal RNA", at positions 35 to 154 of the family's 154-position model. The record is from RNAcentral.
GAUGAAGAACGUAGCGAAAUGCGAUACUUGGUGUGAAUUGCAGAAUCCCGUGAACCAUCGAGUCUUUGAACGCAAAUUGCGCCCGAAGCCAUCAGGUUGAGGGCACGUCUGCCUGGGCGUCACAUAUCGUUGCCCAAUGCCUAUUGCAGUGCAAUAGGAAUUUCUAGGGCGAAUGAUGGCUUCCCGUGAGCGUUGUUGCCUCGCGGUUGGUUGAAAAUCGAGUCCUUGGUAGGGUGUGCCAUGGUAGAUGGUGGUCGAGUUAGAACGAUACCGAUCAUGUGCAUGCUCCCCAAAAUAUGGCCUCUAUGACCCACACGCGUCUUUUGACGCUCAUGACGAGACCUCAGGUCAGGCGGGGCUACCCGCUGAAUUUAAGCAUAUCAAUAAGCGGAGGA